UACGGAGGGAGCUAGCGUUGUUCGGAAUUAUUGGGCGUAAAGCGCGUGUAGGCGGCCAGGUAGGUCCGCUGUGAAAACCCGAGGCUCAACCUCGGGACGUCGGCGGAAACCAUUUGGCUAGAGUCCGGAAGAGGAGAGUGGAAUUCCCGGUGUAGCGGUGAAAUGCGUAGAGAUUGGGAAGAACAUCGGUGGCGAAGGCGCUCUGCUGGACCAUAACUGACACUCACAGGACGAAAGCUAGGGGAGCGAAUGGG
Molecule: ribosomal RNA, 254 nt
Filed under: uncultured bacterium
Lineage: Bacteria
Description: partial 16S ribosomal RNA
Rfam family: Bacterial small subunit ribosomal RNA
Source: RNAcentral